CUGGCUCAGGAUGAACGCUAGCGACAGGCUUAACACAUGCAAGUCGAGGGGCAGCAUAGAAGUAGCAAUACUUGGUGGCGACCGGCGCACGGGUGAGUAACGCGUAUGCAACCUACCUAUCAGAGGGGAAUAACCCGGCGAAAGUCGGACUAAUACCGCAUAAAACAGGGGCACCGCAUGGUGAUAUUUGUUAAAGAAAUUCGCUGAUAGAUGGGCAUGCGUUCCAUUAGGUAGUUGGUGAGGUAACGGCUCACCAAGCCGACGAUGGAUAGGGGAACUGAGAGGUUGGUCCCCCACACUGGUACUGAGACACGGACCAGACUCCUACGGGAGGCAGCAGUGAGGAAUAUUGGUCAAUGGGCGGGAGCCUGAACCAGCCAAGUCGCGUGAAGGAAGAAGGAUCUAUGGUUCGUAAACUUCUUUUGCAGGGGAAUAAAGUGCAGGACGUGUCCUGUUUUGUAUGUACCCUGAGAAUAAGGAUCGGCUAACUCCGUGCCAGCCGCCGC
This 506-nucleotide ribosomal RNA is filed under the name uncultured bacterium. RNAcentral's name for it is "bacterial SSU rRNA". It matches the Rfam family "Bacterial small subunit ribosomal RNA", at positions 19 to 518 of the family's 1533-position model. The record is from RNAcentral.